This 703-nucleotide ribosomal RNA is filed under the name uncultured fungus. RNAcentral describes it as "SSU rRNA". It matches the Rfam family "Eukaryotic small subunit ribosomal RNA", at positions 835 to 1564 of the family's 1831-position model. Lineage: Eukaryota; Fungi. The record is from RNAcentral.
CCCAUUUUGUUGGUUUCUGAGAUCGCCGUAAUGAUUAAUAGGGAUAGUUGGGGCAUUUGUAUUCCGUCGUCAGAGGUGAAAUUCUUGGAUUGCCGGAAGACAAACUACUGCGAAAGCAUUUGCCAAGGAUGUUUUCAUUGAUCAAGAACGAAGGAAGGGGGAUCGAAAACGAUCAGAUACCGUUGUAGUCUCUUCUGUAAACUAUGCCAAUUGGGGAUUAGCACAGGAUUUUCAAUGACUGUGUUAGCACCCGAAGAGAAAUCUUUAAAUGAGGUUCGGGGGGGAGUAUGGUCGCAAGGCUGAAACUUAAAGGAAUUGACGGAAGGGCACCACCAGGUGUGGAGCCUGCGGCUUAAUUUGACUCAACACGGGGAAACUCACCAGGUCCAGACACAAUAAGGAUUGACAGAUUGAUAGCUCUUUCUUGAUCUUGUGGUUGGUGGUGCAUGGCCGUUCUUAGUUGGUGGAGUGAUUUGUCUGGUUAAUUCCGAUAACGAACGAGACCUUAACCUGCUAAAUAGACCAGUCGACUUUGGUUGACUGCUGUCUUCUUAGAGGGACUAUCAGCGUUUAGCUGAUGGAAGUUUGAGGCAAUAACAGGUCUGUGAUGCCCUUAGAUGUUCUGGGCCGCACGCGCGCUACACUGACAGAGCCAGCGAGUCUUUUUCCUUGCCGGAAGGCAUGGUAAUCUUGUNACUCNUNG